GGCAGUACUGAAGCAAUGCUCCCGUCUGCUUUGGCCCUGUUUCUGUCUGAUAACACAGGCUGCUGCCUCCCUGGCAUUUAUCCAUCAUGUUGUGUCUGGAAACUGGAAGGGAGUAUGAUCUGAGGACAAACAGGAUGAACAGAGACCUGGAGACCUGUCCAUGGAGCUGUCAUUGAAAGCCUCAGUCAUGAAAAGACUAAGUUGGCACCAGAUACUGGAAGAAGCUUCUAUUAUUCUAUAAUUCUAGUGAAUUAUAUCUAUCUCGAGAAGAAGUGCCAGAGCCAAUCCCUUUCCCACCAGCAGGAACAGUUGAUGUG
Long non-coding RNA from Vidua chalybeata, 317 nucleotides. RefSeq lists it as uncharacterized. The transcript has 3 exons. Lineage: Eukaryota; Metazoa; Chordata; Aves; Passeriformes; Viduidae. The record is from RefSeq and is a predicted model, not a curated record.